GAUGAACGCUAGCGGCAGGCCUAACACAUGCAAGUCGAGGGGCAGCACGAUUGAGCUUGCUUAAUUGGUGGCGACCGGCGCACGGGUGCGUAACGCGUAUGCAACCUACCUUAUACUGGGGUAUAGCCCGAAGAAAUUCGGAUUAAUCCCCCAUAGCAUUAUCGAUUCGCAUGUUUGAUAAUUAAAGGUUACGGUAUAAG
Molecule: ribosomal RNA, 200 nt
Filed under: uncultured bacterium
Lineage: Bacteria
Description: partial 16S ribosomal RNA
Rfam family: Bacterial small subunit ribosomal RNA
Source: RNAcentral